GCAAUUUGUAAGUUUAUUCUAUAGCCAGAGUUUUAAUUAAGAACUAGAAAGUCCAUAGAAGAGAAUCCUUCUUUGUCUCCUCAGUGCAUAUCCAGAAGGAUCACUUAAUGCCAGUGGAGUCCCUGUGACAUCUGUAUUGAAAUAAGUGAUGUGUAGCCACCAACAUGUUAGCAGGCUCAUGAAAUUUCCAUGCUUUGUGACAUCAUGAAGAAGGAGUUUUGAAGGGGGUGAGGGUUGAUCUUGCUCUCUUCCACUGCUCAUGGGGUGAUCUGGGCAUUGAUCGGGGAGGUGACGAGCAAUUGCUUUUGCAUCAUUUGUUGUGUACAUAUAUAACUAUUAUCCUCCUUUUCUCUCUCUUUGUAAAUAGAUUCAUCUUGACCCACGAGUUUUACUUCUUCUUUCCCAGUUCUCUCCCCCAUUGCACUGGAAAAGGGGGAGUGAGCAAAUGACUGUAUGGUGCUCCGCCAUCUGCCAUGUUAAACCACAACAAAUGCAAAGGCUGUUUUAAUUGAGCUGAAACAGAAAACCAGAAAACUACUGGAGGAGAGGUGUUGUCAGGAUUGACAUUGCCUCUAACAUUUGGUUUGACAGCCUUGCUAGGAAUCUCAACUAUCUCCUCUAGGACAUCACUGUGACUUGGGUGGCCUACAAGGUCAUCCAGAUGUGCUAGCCUCUGGAUUUGCAGGAUAGUUGGUUGCUGUGACAGAGUGUUAUGCCAGAGGUUGAAAUCUCUUUCCAGAGAAGUUCUCUGGAAGAAAGUGACUUCUGUGCUUUCAUCUCUGUGAGGCACAGCUCCAGGGUGGAUGAAUGAGAGGGCUUGCACUGGCACACCAGCAAACAGAAAGCCUCGUUCCACAGUGUAGCUUUAUGUACGUUCUAGUGUUUAAAGACAAGUUUUUAUACUCAGAAGUCAUGCAGUCUCUGUAUUGCAGCUGGGCAAACUCAACCAUAACGUUUUCCAAAUGUCAUCAAAAAGGCAGAGCUGUGAUUAACAUGCCCAUUCAAUGCACCUUAAUAAAAUAUGAAGGGAUGAAUCUUACUCCUAUUGCUUUUUGA
This 1056-nucleotide long non-coding RNA is filed under the name Phasianus colchicus (ring-necked pheasant). RNAcentral's name for it is "lncRNA (ENSPCLG00000013306.1)". Lineage: Eukaryota; Metazoa; Chordata; Aves; Galliformes; Phasianidae. The record is from RNAcentral.